GUCGAGGGGCAGCACAAAGAUAGUUUACUAUUUUGGUGGCGACCGGCGCACGGGUGAGUAACGCGUAUGCAACCUACCUUAUACAGGAGUAUAGCCCGAAGAAAUUCGGAUUAAUCCUGCAUAGUAUUUUCUAAUGGCAUCAUUUGGAAAAUUAAAGCUUCGGCGGUAUAAGAUGGGCAUGCGUCCUAUUAGCUAGAUGGUAAGGUAACGGCUUACCAUGGCAACGAUAGGUAGGGGGCCUGAGAGGGUGAUCCCCCACACUGGUACUGAGACACGGACCAGACUCCUACGGGAGGCAGCAGUGAGGAAUAUUGGGCAAUGGAGGCAACUCUGACCCAGCCAUGCCGCGUGCAGGAAGAAUGCCCUAUGGGUUGUAAACUGCUUUUAUUUAGGAAUAAACCCUUCUACGUGUAGAAGGCUGAAUGUACUAAACGAAUAAGCACCGGCUAACUCCGUGCCAGCAGCCGCGGUAAUACGGAGGGUGCAAGCGUUAUCCGGAAUCAUUGGGUUUAAAGGGUCCGCAGGCGGACGUAUAAGUCAGUGGUGAAAUCCUGCAGCUUAACUGCAGAACUGCCAUUGAUACUGUACGUCUUGAAUUCGGUCGAAGUGGGCGGAAUGUGUAGUGUAGCGGUGAAAUGCAUAGAUAUUACACAGAACACCGAUAGCGAAGGCAGCUCACUAGGCCUGGAUUGACGCUCAGGGACGAAAGCGUGGGGAUCAAACAGGAUUAGAUACCCUGGUAGUCCACGCUGUAAACGAUGAUUACUCGUUUUCGGCGAUAUACAGUCGGAGACUAAGCGAAAGUGAUAAGUAAUCCACCUGGGG
This 825-nucleotide ribosomal RNA is filed under the name uncultured marine bacterium. RNAcentral describes it as "bacterial SSU rRNA". It matches the Rfam family "Bacterial small subunit ribosomal RNA", at positions 61 to 878 of the family's 1533-position model. The record is from RNAcentral.